GUGAGAGCUUUGAGUCGACUUCUCAGAAGCCUCCCGAAGAAGAGCUAGCGCCGCGAGGUGACUCGGUCUGGUAGGGAAAUGGCAAGUGGAGGAGCUGGUUGAAGUGCUCGUCGGUCGGGCAUUCAAAGCCCUCCAAAUCUGGCCCCACUUUAGCUAUCCAAUCACAGCCGCCUCCAUCCCCCCCGCAAGAACUCCCAGCUCCAAUCAGGGAAGUCUCCAUGCCAUCCUCAGCGCGCAGCAGACUCAUUCUUCCUUGGUGCCUUUGCCCAGGCUGUUCCCCACCCCCUUGCCAGGGGUGCCCUCCCUGCUUUAUAUUCCCAAUUCAGCCCAGGCUGUGAGACGCAGCUCAAGUCGUAGCUUGUCAGGGUCCCUGGCAGCCAAGGCCCCUCCUGUUUCUCAAAGAAACACAUGUAAUACAACAACAUGGAGGCUCAAGCUUCAGCCAAGAGCUCUUCCUUUGCAGCCAUCUAUACCCACCCUAGCCAGAGACUGCCCACCGCUCGCCCUCUUCCCCAUUCGUACUUAGAGAGCUUUGCUGGCCGAGAGCCAGCCUGCCCCCAACAAGUCCGUCUUCCUCUAAGAGUAGGAUUGGCUUUUCUAGGUGGGGCUGGUCAGAAAGGCCAAGUGCCUGGGUGUAGAAGACAACAGCCAAAGCCUCUGGCACCAAAUGGAACAGCUGCACAGCUCUCACUGACCUUUUUCUGGGCCUGUGGCUGUAAAGAGCCUUCCAGCUCUUAACUUUUCCGACCGUGUUUCUAUCAGACUUCUACCUGUCCGAUUUUCUGGCCACUUUCCUGGGUGGACUUUGAGCUAGGAGGCUCUGCCACCUUUCAGAUUUCUAGUGGGUGGGGAAUCUGAUUGGCUUGGGUUGCGUGGUCUUUUGAGUGUUGUUCCUUGCUUUGGCUUGAAACUCUCUUGCUUUUGUCCAUGUGACCUCAGGCCCGGUUCACAGACUCCAUGCCCAGACUCACCCUGAAUGUUUGUACCUGGUGGGGUGGGGGGAGGACACUUGUGUGCAAAACACAGUUUCUUCACGAGAAUCCAGUCUGUUCCAAACCAGUGCAUGGACUGCAUCGCACAAGUGAGCCCCCUUUUUCACAACCUGAGGACACAGUGGCUUUAGGCUAAGAGAGAAUGGCUUCGAAUUGCCACAACCUGAAGGGGAGAUUCAUCAAGGAAAGGUAACAUACCUGCUAAAGACCUUAAGAAAAGGGAAGUUGAGAACCAAGAAGUCUUUAAAAUAACUUCACUACCGGGUGUCACACAGGCUGGCUUCCCGAGUGCAACUUUAGAGUUUUUAAUAGGUUCCAUAAAGAGCUACGUAAC
Molecule: long non-coding RNA, 1326 nt
Filed under: Cricetulus griseus (Chinese hamster)
Lineage: Eukaryota; Metazoa; Chordata; Mammalia; Rodentia; Cricetidae
Description: lncRNA (ENSCGRG00015016139.2)
Source: RNAcentral